AGUGGCGACCGGGUGAGUAACACGUGACUAACCUACCUCCGAGUGGGGAAUAACUCCGGGAAACCGGGGCUAAUACCGCAUAACAUCGCAAGAUCAAAGCAGCAAUGCGCUUGGAGAGGGGGUCGCGGCUGAUUAGCUAGUUGGCGGGGUAACGGCCCACCAAGGCGAAGAUCGGUAUCCGGCCUGAGAGGGCGCACGGACACACUGGAACUGAAACACGGUCCAGACUCCUACGGGAGGCAGCAGUGGGGAAUUUUGCGCAAUGGGGGAAACCCUGACGCAGCAACGCCGCGUGGAGGAUGAAGCCCUUUGGGGCGUAAACUCCUUUCGACUCGGACGAUAAUGACGGUACGAGUGGAAGAAGCACCGGCUAACUCUGUGCCAGCUGCCGCGGUAAUACAGAGGGUGCAAGCGUUGUUCGGAAUUAUUGGGCGUAAAGGGCGCGUAGGCGGUGCGGUAAGUCACCUGUGAAAUCUCCUGGCUUAACUGGGAGCCUGCAGGCGA
Molecule: ribosomal RNA, 504 nt
Filed under: uncultured bacterium
Lineage: Bacteria
Description: bacterial SSU rRNA
Rfam family: Bacterial small subunit ribosomal RNA
Source: RNAcentral